UUAACAAAAACAUGUCCUUUUGGUAAGUAUUUAAGGUCUAAUCUGCCCUAUGAUUAAUAAUUUAAAUGGCCGCGAUAUUUUGAUCGUGCGAAGGUAGCAUAAUCAUUAGCUUUUUAAUUGAAAGCUGGUAUGAAUGAUUGGACAAGAAACUUUCUGUCUCAAAUUUAUUAUUUGAAUUUUAUUUUUUAGUUAAAAAGCUUAAAUUAUUUUGUAAGACGAGAAGACCCUAUAGAGUUUAAUAUUUUUAGUUACAUUUAGAUUUUAGAAUUAGUAAUCUUUUUGUUUUGUAAAAUAUUUGGUUGGGGUGACAGAAAAAUUUAUUAAACUUUUUAUUUAUAAAAUAUUAAUUUAUAGGUUAUUGACUUAUCUAGAAUAGUUAUAAGACUAAAUUACCUUAGGGAUAACAGCGUAAUUUUUCUAAAGAGUUCAUAUCGAAAGAAAAGAUUGCGACCUCGAUGUUGGAUUAAAGUUAAAAUUUGGUGCAGAAGCUGGAUGGUUUAGUCUGUUCGACUAUUAAAACUUUACAUGAUCUGAGUUUAAACCGGCGUGAGCCAGGUUGGUUUCUAUCUUCAAUUAGUUAUAAAUAUUUUAGUACGAAAGGACCAAAUAUUUUUUAAAUUAAUUUUAUUAAUUGAAUAUAAUU
RNAcentral lists this ribosomal RNA (643 nucleotides) under Agrilus sp. UPOL A00665. RNAcentral's name for it is "partial 16S ribosomal RNA". It matches the Rfam family "Bacterial large subunit ribosomal RNA", at positions 1804 to 2736 of the family's 2925-position model. The record is from RNAcentral. Lineage: Eukaryota; Metazoa; Arthropoda; Insecta; Coleoptera; Buprestidae.